GCAGUCGUGGCCGAGUGGUUAAGGCGAGGGACUAGAAAUUCAUUGGGGUCUCCCCGCACGCUCGCGAACAGUCUCAAAUCCUGUCGACAGCG
This 92-nucleotide transfer RNA is filed under the name Ixodes scapularis (black-legged tick). It matches the Rfam family "tRNA". Rfam says of the family: Transfer RNA (tRNA) molecules are approximately 80 nucleotides in length. Their secondary structure includes four short double-helical elements and three loops (D, anti-codon, and T loops). Further hydrogen bonds mediate the characteristic L-shaped molecular structure. tRNAs have two regions of fundamental functional importance: the anti-codon, which is responsible for specific mRNA codon recognition, and the 3' end, to which the tRNAs corresponding amino acid is attached (by aminoacyl-tRNA synthetases). tRNAs cope with the degeneracy of the genetic code in two manners: having more than one tRNA (with a specific anti-codon) for a particular amino acid; and 'wobble' base-pairing, i.e. permitting non-standard base-pairing at the 3rd anti-codon position. The record is from Rfam by way of RNAcentral. Lineage: Eukaryota; Metazoa; Arthropoda; Arachnida; Ixodida; Ixodidae.